This 253-nucleotide ribosomal RNA is filed under the name uncultured bacterium. RNAcentral describes it as "partial 16S ribosomal RNA". It matches the Rfam family "Bacterial small subunit ribosomal RNA", at positions 524 to 776 of the family's 1533-position model. The record is from RNAcentral.
GACAGAGGGUGCAAACGUUGCUCGGAAUCACUGGGCGUAAAGGGCGUGUAGGCGGGAAGGCAAGUCAGAUGUGAAAGCCCUGGGCUCAACCCAGGAACUGCAUUUGAAACUCCCUUUCUUGAGUGUCGGAGAGGAAAGCGGAAUUCCUGGUGUAGAGGUGAAAUUCGUAGAUAUCGAGAGGAACAUCUGUGGCGAAGGCGGCCUUCUGGACGGUGACUGACGCUGAGACGCGAAAGCGUGGGGAGCAAACAGG